UACGUAGGGAGCAAGCGUUGUCCGGAAUCAUUGGGCGUAAAGCGCGCGUAGGUGGCUUCGUAAGUCCGUUGUGAAAGUCAAAGGCUCAACCUUUGAAUGCCGAUGGAUACUGCGGAGCUAGAGUACGGAAGAGGCGAGUGGAAUUCCUGGUGUAGCGGUGGAAUGCGCAGAUAUCAGGAGGAACACCAAUAGCAAAGGCAGCUCGCUGGGACGUUACUGACACUAAGGCGCGAAAGCGUGGGGAGCGAACAGG
Molecule: ribosomal RNA, 253 nt
Filed under: uncultured bacterium
Lineage: Bacteria
Description: partial 16S ribosomal RNA
Rfam family: Bacterial small subunit ribosomal RNA
Source: RNAcentral